CUCUCUCUAGUUCAGCCACCCCCAACUCAGGAAUGAUUGCACGGACAAAAGAACGGAAUCCUGUUUGUCUGACAACUAAGGGAUUGGGGCACUGACUAUAAAUCAGUUAGGUAUACCAGGUGAAACUGGUAUCAG
Long non-coding RNA from Gopherus evgoodei (Goodes thornscrub tortoise), 135 nucleotides. RefSeq lists it as uncharacterized. The record is from RefSeq and is a predicted model, not a curated record. The transcript has 3 exons. Lineage: Eukaryota; Metazoa; Chordata; Testudines; Testudinidae.